CUGGACCCUGUAGGCGGAGUGGGGAAGAAACGCUGCAGUGUCGACGGCAGAAGCAGAUCCAGCGCGCAGGCUGGUUACACUCCAGCCGCCGCAGCGGCAUCGCCACCAUCAGGGGCUCCGCCGGAGUAAGAUUCGAGCCCGGAGCCAGCCGCCGCCACCGCAACCUGCGUUCUUGUGCUGCUGUCACCGCGCCCUUCCGCUCCUUUGCCGGCGCCAUUGCUCCCUUUCGUC
RNAcentral lists this long non-coding RNA (231 nucleotides) under Setaria italica (foxtail millet). Its description in RNAcentral is "long non-coding RNA (SITA_LNC001272)". The record is from RNAcentral. Lineage: Eukaryota; Viridiplantae; Streptophyta; Magnoliopsida; Poales; Poaceae.